UAUCAAUGGGCGGCAGGCCUAACACAUGCAAGUCGAGCGGUAGCACAGGAGAGCUUGCUCUCUGGGUGACGAGCGGCGGACGGGUGAGUAAUGUCUGGGAAACUGCCUGAUGGAGGGGGAUAACUACUGGAAACGGUAGCUAAUACCGCAUAACGUCUUCGGACCAAAGAGGGGGACCUUCGGGCCUCUUGCCAUCAGAUGUGCCCAGAUGGGAUUAGCUAGUAGGUGAGGUAAUGGCUCACCUAGGCGACGAUCCCUAGCUGGUCUGAGAGGAUGACCAGCCACACUGGAACUGAGACACGGUCCAGACUCCUACGGGAGGCAGCAGUGGGGAAUAUUGCACAAUGGGCGCAAGCCUGAUGCAGCCAUGCCGCGUGUAUGAAGAAGGGCCUUCGGGUUGUAAAGUACUUUCAGCGAGGAGGAAGGCAUUGUGGUUAAUAACCGCAGUGAUUGACGUUACUCGCAGAAGAAGCACCGGCUAACUCCGUGCCAGCAGCCGCGGUAAUACGGAGGGGUGCAAGCGUUUAAUCGGAAUUACUGGGGCGUUAAAGCGCACGCAGGCGGUCUGUCAAGUCGGAUGGUGAAAUCCCCGGGCCUCAACCUGGGGAACUGCAUUCGAAACUGGCAGGGCUAGAGUCUUGUAGAGGGGGGGUAGAAUUCCAGGGUGUAGCGGUUGAAAUGCGUAGAGAUCUGGAGGGAAUACCGGGUGGCGAAGGCGGCCCCCCUGGACAAAGACCUGACGCUCAGGGUGCGAAAGCGUGGGGGAGCAACACAGGAUUAGCAUACCCUCUGGGUUAGUCCACUGCCGUACAACGAAUGCUCGACAUUUUGGAGGUUGUUCCUCCUUUGAGGAAGUGGCUCUCUCGCAGACUAACUCGAAACUGGCAGGCUAGAGUCUUGUAGAGGGGGGUAGAAUUCCAGGUGUAGCGGUGAAAUGCGUAGAGAUCUGGAGGAAUACCCGGUGGCGAAGGCGGCCCCCUGGACAAAGACUGACGCUCAGGUGCGAAAGCGUGGGGAGCAAACAGGAUUAGAUACCCUGGUAGUCCACGCCAGUAAACGAUGUCGACUUGGAGGUUGUUCCCUUGAGGAGUGGCUUCCGGAGCUAACGCGUUAAGUCGACCGCCUGGGGAGUACGGCCGCAAGGUUAAAACUCAAAUGAAUUGACGGGGGCCCGCACAAGCGGUGGAGCAUGUGGUUUAAUUCGAUGCAACGCGAAGAACCUUACCUACUCUUGACAUCCAGAGAAUUCGCUAGAGAUAGCUUAGUGCCUUCGGGAACUCUGAGACAGGUGCUGCAUGGCUGUCGUCAGCUCGUGUUGUGAAAUGUUGGGUUAAGUCCCGCAACGAGCGCAACCCUUAUCCUUUGUUGCCAGCGGUUCGGCCGGGAACUCAAAGGAGACUGCCAGUGAUAAACUGGAGGAAGGUGGGGAUGACGUCAAGUCAUCAUGGCCCUUACGAGUAGGGCUACACACGUGCUACAAUGGCGCAUACAAAGAGAAGCGACCUCGCGAGAGCAAGCGGACCUCAUAAAGUGCGUCGUAGUCCGGAUCGGAGUCUGCAACUCGACUCCGUGAAGUCGGAAUCGCUAGUAAUCGUAGAUCAGAAUGCUACGGUGAAUACGUUCCCGGGCCUUGUACACACCGCCCGUCACACCAUGGGAGUGGGUUGCAAAAGAAGUAGGUAGCUUAACCUUCGGGAGGGCGCUUACCACUUUGUGAUUCAUGACCACGGA
Molecule: ribosomal RNA, 1731 nt
Filed under: Buttiauxella agrestis
Lineage: Bacteria; Pseudomonadati; Pseudomonadota; Gammaproteobacteria; Enterobacterales; Enterobacteriaceae
Description: bacterial SSU rRNA
Rfam family: Bacterial small subunit ribosomal RNA
Source: RNAcentral